This is a non-coding RNA of Lolium perenne, 4914 nucleotides long. NCBI's taxonomy places the organism in Eukaryota, Viridiplantae, Streptophyta, Magnoliopsida, Poales, Poaceae. The record is from RefSeq and is a predicted model, not a curated record.
GAUCAUUCUUGUUUCUUGUCGAUGCAACAGACAAGAGUGUUGGUGCGUACUGCUGAAUCGAGCCCUUGUUCAAUCAUUAUCCUUCAGGAACAGGAACUUUUCUCCACUUCCUAGCUGCAACGAAGCCAAAGUACUAAAGUGAGCAUCUUCAGGGAAAGAGGUAAUCCCGUCUGGGGAAAGGACUCAAGUUUUGGACAUGUCUCUAUGUACAGAGACUCAAGAGAUGUGAGAUGCAUCAUGUUGGAUGGCAGUGAUCUCAGUUUCAGGCAGUCAGUGAAGCGAAGUUCCUCAAGUGAAGUGAGUUGUUGCAGCCAUUCCUUCUGAUCCAUGUUAAAAAUUUCCAGGUGGCUAGAUGAGAUAUCCAGCAUAUGAACAUUGGCUAGGCUGCUCGUUGGAAGACAGCUAAAGAGAAGUCCCAAGUGGUCCAGGGAGAGCUGAACAUGGAAGGACGUGUUGACAUUAGUUGUAUUUUCAGAUUCGCAACUGGUUAUCUUCUCAUACGUCGAGUUAGAUACAGAAAUUUGCAUUUUUUUGAGUGACUGUAACGGUAAAGGGCCCAUCAACUGGGUACAUUUCUGAAUACAGAUGUCACGCAGACGUGGAAAUACUUGUUGGCUGGAAUCAAUACCUGACCAUCCUUUCCACUUUUCCAUGCCUUCAAAUAGAAGCUUUUCCAGUGAUGGAAAUGCCACUGGAGCAUCCCCAUAGAAUCCAGCAUCUAUAUUUUCCACUGCUGUUAAAUGCCUUAUCUUUAAUAUCCUCAGGAAUGGUAGGCUCCCAAAAGGUGGAAGAGUUUUCCAAUGAUGGCAGGAGAAUAAUUCAAUGCAGUGAAUGUUGGGCAAGUAUUUACAGGAUAGCCAAGAAGGAGAGUUGAUUCCCAUGUAACAUCUGACAGAAAGUUCUCUCAAGUUGGGAUUUGGUUGUAACCCUUCAAGCACGCCUUCAUGGUCGGUGUAGUUCAUGCUGUGUUUGUGAUGAUUCCAACAGAGUGUUAGCUUGUUCAGGUUUUCCUUCUUAACUAAUCCCGCCUCAGAUGAUUCUUCCCUGCAUCUCACAUUCUGAAGAUUCUUGAUGUUUAGCAUGCCUCUAAGUUCAUUCAACUCUUUUAGUUGACAUAUAUGAUGCUUCAUGUCACUCUUCACUUCGUACUCCUCUAAUUCCCUGAGGGAUGUUAGCCUGCCAAUCAAUUUUAUACCUGAAAUUAUUUCCUUUGGGGCCUUUAAAUAUCUUAACUGGGUCAACAUACUUAAGCCCUCUUGAAGUUCUUUUUUCAUCAUCCCGCCUUCUUGAAUUUUCAGAUCCAGUCCAUUUAGAUGGUAGAGCUUGAAUAUUGACUUGGGGACACUGAUAAAGCUUCCAUUUUCAUGGAUAUUUAGAUACCUAAGGUGGACCAAUUUAUCCAGAUUUUUUGGGAGUAUACCAUCAAGAUUGCUUAGUACUAAAACCCGUAAGCUUCUUAGCUGUUGGAGAGUCUCUUCAAGAACAUGGUUGAAGUUCGACGAUGUGAUCCCUCUGCGGGAAGUACCUUCUUCUGCCUUGCAUAUUAUUAAGCUUCUCACAUUCUUCUUCAACUCUUUGAAUUCUUGCAAACUUAUGAACACCUUAGAUAUAUUGCUUGCACUGACAUAUAUGUGGCGAACGUUUCUUGGAAUGCACACAUGGAAGUCAUCUUCUAUUCGGAAGUGUUCUCCAUUAGAGACUGACUCUGCAAAAUCAUGUAGCAAGUCAUGAACUACAUAGUGGUCCUCUUUGUUGGCUACCUUCUCAAUAAACGAAAGCUGCAAGAGAUCGUUGAUGUAACGAUAGGCAAUUUCAUCCGGUGUUUGUGUGCUAAGGAAACCAUGAGCCCUCCACAUCUGUAUCAGCACAUCUCCACGAAGGUGGUAUUUCUUAGGGAACAGUGCAAAGUAAACAAAGCAUUGCUUCAAAUGGUCAGGAAGAUGCUCAUAACUCAGUCCCAAUGCUGAUAUAAUAUCAUCUUCCUUUUGCUCUAAUUGCCACAAUUUACUCCUAGAGACAGCCCUCCAAUGAUUUUCUUCUAACUCAAGUUUCAGUGAACCACCAAUUGUCUUUGCUGCUAAAGGUGAUCCUGCCAACCUCUUCACCACUUGUCGACCAAUAUUUUCCAGCUGUGGAUAUUCAGAUGGAUUUGCAUCACCAAACGCACAUUCUGAGAAAAAACCCCAGUACUCUUCUUCUUCUAAUCCAUGUAAGUACAUCAUCUCUGUUGCUCCGUUGAUGCUUGCAACGUUUUUACUACGUGUCGUAACUAUUACUUUGCUGCCCUUACAGGCAAACUGCAGCGGCUUGCACAGGUUCUCUGAUUGGCUGCUCAGUUCAUUCCAUACAUCAUCAAGGACUACCAAAGCUCUUUUCCCAUUCAGCUUCUCCCGUAACAUCCUUUGAGCUUGAUCUAAACUACUGAUGCUGUUCAAGUCAGCAGACAUGCCGAGAUUAUCAGACUGUGCCAUCUCUUUUGUUAGACGUCCAACAUCGAAUUUAUCUGAGACAUGAAGCCAUACUGCAAAAUCAAAGUGACAGGUGACACGGAAAUGAUUAUACACUCUCUGUACUAACGCAGUCUUACCAACACCACCAAUACCAACAAUCGAUAUAACAUCAUAUGGCUGACUGGAUUGUUCAUUGAUCUGAACAAGUAAUUUCUUCAGGUGUUUUUCUUCAUUAACUCGACCAAAAAACUUUCUUGAGCCUGGUAUAGAGGUUGUUGUGCGCCACUGAACUGCCUGUUCUGGUCUGCUGUCCUCUAGCUUCACUAACCCCAGGAAUGUUUGCAUCGUACUACCAAUAUCAGCAAACAAAUCCACUACAGAAAUCAACUCAUCGACAUCUUCAUCGGAGAAAAGGAAGCGUUUGAGAGCACAAACCGACUGAUUUACUGUUGAGCCGCUGCUACUGCUAGUAGUGGUAGAGGCAGCGGUGAUGGUGGUUGUGGAUGAAGAAGAUGACCCAGCUGCGGCUGAAGCAACUGAGUUAGCCUUGCCCAUGUCUUCCGCUUCUGCUUGUAGAACUCGAUAGUCAAACAAAUCAAGAACAUCCUCAGCUUGACAUGCAGCAUCUUUGAUUCUCCUUAGCCAACUUCCCAUGACUGUGUUCUUCGCCUGCACUCUCUCAGCUAUGUGCACCACUGUUUGGAUCGACGAUAGGUUCUUCUCUAAGAUUCUUAGUUUCUCCUUUGUGUCUUGCCGUUGGUAUUCAUACUGAUCGCCAGCAUAGGAGCACACCUUCUCAACCAGCUUUGUGAUGAGGGCUGAGGCCACCCAUCCUCCUAUUGCUGUAGCCAUUAAAGCUCAGAGGCAACAACUCGAAAGAUUUGUCAAAUGAUGGUUUCAAGUCGCCACAUAAGAGAAAAAGGAAUAAUGGUUGGAAGAAAGUUAGCAUUUGGAUCCUGUCAAGAAGGAAUCUUAGUAUAAAGUAAUGCCAUAAUCUGAAACUUCCCCGAGCUGCAUCGUAUUGCUUUGUUUUUGCCAUAUUCUAAUGAAGCACUAGGACUGGACCUGGAACCUGUGGCACUUAAAUUCAGAAACAACCGUGAGUCUCAUUCCAGCACCUUGAUGGAGAUAACAGUGUGUAGCCUAUGUUUUGGCAAUAGUUCCUCUAAUUUUUUUUUUUAAAGGGACCAAGAUGGGAGGAACCCUGCAGCAUUUUAUUAAGAAAGAAGCUGUGUGGCACAGCCGUCCAACCCGGGAUCGAACGCGCGCUGCCUGCGAGGCGCCACUGCGCUCUCACCACUGGGCUAUGCUGUGCCUGUUUUUUUUUUUGACCCAAAACCUCAGUUCUAUUAAGAGAAAACACCGGUACAGACACCCCUGAAAAACGAAGAAAAUACAUUGGAGCCCCGGGGGAAGACGGCCGCCGCCGCCGUCAACACGCACUGAAGGCACGCCGCCGCCAUCAACGCUCCGAGGAGCUUAGAAAAGGCAAGCAGCCGGAAGUCCUUCAAGAAAGGGGCCUCGAAAGCCCUACGCGUGGAAGGAGAAGCCGUCGUCUUCGAAGUCGUCGUCGGCGAACCUCCGCGAGAACAGAGCCCGCUCCAGUACAGCACCAUCUGUACAAGCUUCACAAGCUCCUCAACGGCGCCGGAGAGCUCGCCGCUGAAGAAGGGACGGAGCCGGAAGACAAAAGCCCGCGGAUCUGGCAGCACCACCGCCUCGCCACCAGAUCGAAGGCAACACCUCCCCACAGGCUCCCCGAGGACGAAGUCGAAGAAGCCGCCGCCGGGAUGGGAACGGAGCCAGGGAAACCUUAUUCCAGACGCCGCCGCCGUCACCACCUCAACGCCGACGCCAAGAGACGAAAUCCAAACCCUAACUACCCUAUCUACACCGCACGGACAGAGCACCGGGGUCACCCACACCCUCCGUCGCCGCCGAAGCGACGGACGGAGGGGACGGGGACCCACGGCCUCGCCGGCGGGGAGCGGGGGAGGGGGGGGGGGGGGACGAGCGCCUCCCUUUCGCCUCUUGGUCACGAGAGGAAGAAGAGGAUAAGGCUCUCUGUGCCUGUUUUUGUCCAAAGUGAUCGUUGCUCUUGUUCGCAUGUGACUCAGCUAUGCGUUAAUAUAAGCGGCAUCUGGUCUCUGCUCAUGUAUAAAAUGAUGUAGUACUAUAAUUCUUGGAGGGCUUGAACUUCCACCCCACUCAUUUUUUUACGUAGUAGAUCUGAGAGCCAGCUGACACAGCAGCCACAUAUAAAAUUAUAACUUCGCCCCAAUUGGGCUCGGGUUGUGGCGCAGAUACUAAUAGUUUAGCUUCAUCUCGGUAUAGAAAAUUGCACGGAACAUGCCAAGAGACUAGAAACAAGAUGAUGUGCAGAACCAAGAACGUCUGGUGAUAGAUUCAUUUCAUGUCAUAUAUUUUACUGCUUAGACUAAUAUUAGCACAAGUAGAAGCCAAA